ACGAUUGAAGCCAGUCGUACCUUCGGGUAAUCAGCCUUUCGGGUGCGAUUCUGUGGGGUUUGAGGAGCUUAACACCUUCAUGCUUUGCAUAUUCGUGCUCUUGGGUGUACUUGCCCGUGUGGUUGGUUAACAUCAAUUUUGGUGGUCAUAAAAUGACUGGAGGAAUGUAGCUUCGAUCUUGUAUUGAAGUGUUAUAACCUUCGGUAGAUGUGAUGAUCGAGAUUGAGGAUUGCAACGGAUACCCUUCGGGGCUACCUGUCUGAUCUCUGAUCGUUGCUCUGGUGCCGAAAGCUUGCUUACGGUUAUCAAAGUCGAUGGUCAAUAGGUUAGAACGGGUUAAAUUCGUUAAGGAUGUUGACGUA
Molecule: ribosomal RNA, 362 nt
Filed under: uncultured fungus
Lineage: Eukaryota; Fungi
Description: LSU rRNA
Source: RNAcentral